AACGUAGGAGACAAACGUUAUCCGGAGUUACUGGGCGUAAAGGGCGUGUAGGCGGUUAGUUAAGUCUGGCGUGAAAGCUCUCGGCUAAACCGGGAGAGGUCGUUGGAUACUGGCUGACUAGAGGACGGUAGAGGCGUGUGGAAUUCCGGGUGUAGUGGUGAAAUGCGUAGAGAUCCGGAGGAACACCAGUGGCGAAGACGACACGCUGGGCCGUACCUGACGCUAAAGCGCGACAGCAUGGGGAGCAAACGGG
This 253-nucleotide ribosomal RNA is filed under the name uncultured bacterium. RNAcentral describes it as "partial 16S ribosomal RNA". It matches the Rfam family "Bacterial small subunit ribosomal RNA", at positions 524 to 776 of the family's 1533-position model. The record is from RNAcentral.